GACGAACGCUGGCGGCGUGCUUAACACAUGCAAGUCGAGCGGUAAGGCCCUUUCGGGGGUACACGAGCGGCGAACGGGUGAGUAACACGUGGGUGACCUGCCCUCAGCUCUGGGAUAAGCCUGGAAACCGGGUCUAAUACUGGAUAUGACUCCAUGACGCAUGUUGUGGGGUGGAAAGCCUUGUGCGGCUGAGGAUGGGCCCGCGGCCUAUCAGCGUUGUUCGGUGGGGGUGAUGGCCUACCAAGGCGACGACGGGUAGCCGGCCUGAGAGGGCGACCGGCCACACUGGGACUGAGACACGGCCCAGACUCCUACGGGAGGCAGCAGUGGGGAAUCUUGCGCAAUGGGCGAAAGCCUGACGCAGCGACGCCGCGUGAGGGAUGACGGCCU
Molecule: ribosomal RNA, 390 nt
Filed under: uncultured bacterium
Lineage: Bacteria
Description: bacterial SSU rRNA
Rfam family: Bacterial small subunit ribosomal RNA
Source: RNAcentral